Molecule: ribosomal RNA, 600 nt
Filed under: uncultured bacterium
Lineage: Bacteria
Description: bacterial SSU rRNA
Rfam family: Bacterial small subunit ribosomal RNA
Source: RNAcentral
CUCAAAUGAAUUGACGGGGGCCCGCACAAGCGGUGGAGCAUGUGGUUUAAUUCGAUGCAACGCGAAGAACCUUACCUACUCUUGACAUCCAGAGAACUUAGCAGAGAUGCUUUGGUGCCUUCGGGAACUCUGAGACAGGUGCUGCAUGGCUGUCGUCAGCUCGUGUUGUGAAAUGUUGGGUUAAGUCCCGCAACGAGCGCAACCCUUAUCCUUUGUUGCCAGCGGUUAGGUCGGGAACUCAAAGGAGACUGCCAGUGAUAAACUGGAGGAAGGUGGGGAUGACGUCAAGUCAUCAUGGCCCUUACGAGUAGGGCUACACACGUGCUACAAUGGCAUAUACAAAGAGAAGCGACCUCGCGAGAGCAAGCGGACCUCAUAAAGUAUGUCGUAGUCCGGAUUGGAGUCUGCAACUCGACUCCAUGAAGUCGGAAUCGCUAGUAAUCGUAGAUCAGAAUGCUACGGUGAAUACGUUCCCGGGCCUUGUACACACCGCCCGUCACACCAUGGGAGUGGGUUGCAAAAGAAGUAGGUAGCUUAACCUUCGGGAGGGCGCUUACCACUUUGUGAUUCAUGACUGGGGUGAAGUCGUAACAAGGUAGC